UUCUAACUUAGUAUACAUGUUCCCUAUGAUAUGAUCUUUUAAAUUUUAAUGCCAAAUUAGAGAGUUUACCCCAAUUUCACGGUCCACUGAACAUAGAAAAUGAUAGUGCGAGUGGGGCAUUCGUGUACUGGGGACACAUUCUUGUUUUACAAUGCUCUAUGAUGAUCUAUAAGCAGAGUUUGAUGGAUUCUACACCAAAACAUGUCUUGAUUAGCCAAUACUGCAAUAGUCAGGAAAUUGUUUGAAAGUGUUCAAUAAUACAUAUAUUAAUUUGAAGUACAUUUAAUCAAUUAUAUCUAUGUAUUACCUAAAUUUGUUUUUAAAUGAAAAUCAAAUCAUGCAGGUGAUUGCGUCAGGAAACACUUUCAUUUUCAACAAAAGAAUCGACUUAUCUACAAACUUUUUUUGAAAGUGUAGAUUAUUUUAAGUUACAUGCUAAUGUUACCUAUUGUUCUCAUUGUAUUAUAUUAUCAUUGUUGUUAAUCAAUCCUGG
RNAcentral lists this long non-coding RNA (493 nucleotides) under Mytilus galloprovincialis (Mediterranean mussel). Lineage: Eukaryota; Metazoa; Mollusca; Bivalvia; Mytilida; Mytilidae. The record is from RNAcentral.